GAAACGACUGCUAAGACUGGAUAGGAAGAUAAAAGGCAUCUUUUAUCUUUUUAAAGACCUAGUAAUAGGUAUGCUUUAGGAGGGGCUUGCGCCAUAUUAGUUAGUUGGUAGGGUAAUGGCCUACCAAGACGAUGAUGUGUAGCUGGACUGAGAGGUUGAACAGCCACAUUGGGACUGAGACACGGCCCAAACUCCUACGGGAGGCAGCAGUAGGGAAUUUUCGGCAAUGGAGGAAACUCUGACCGAGCAACGCCGCGUGAAUGACGAAGUACUUCGGUAUGUAAAGUUCUUUUAUCAAGGAAGAAAAGCAAAUGGCGAACCAUUUGUUUGCCGGUACUUGAUGAAUAAGCCCCGGCUAAUUAUGUGCCAGCAGCCGCGGUAAGACAUAAGGGGCAAGUGUUAUCCGGAAUUAUUGGGCGUAAAGGGUGCGUAGGCGGUCUAGUAAGUCAGUGGUGUAAUGGCAACGCUUAACGUUGUCCGGCUAUUGAAACUGCUAAACUUGAGUUAGAUAGAGGCGAGUGGAAUUCCAUGUGUAGCGGUAAAAUGCGUAAAUAUAUGGAGGAACACCAGAGGCGUAGGCGGCUCGCUGGGUCUUAACUGACGCUGAGGCACGAAAGCGUGGGGAGCAAACAGGAUUAGAUACCCUGGUAGUCCACGCCGUAAACGAUGAGUACUAAGUGUCGGGUUAAACCGGUACUGAAGUUAACACAUUAAGUACUCCGCCUGAGUAGUACGUACGCAAGUAUGAAACUUAAAGGAAUUGACGGGACUCCGCACAAGCGGUGGAUCAUGUUGUUUAAUUCGAAGAUACCCGAAAAACCUUACCAGGUCUUGACAUGUUUUUGCAAAAUGAUAGUAAUAUCGUGGAGGUUACCAGAAACACAGGUGGUGCAUGGUUGUCGUCAGCUCGUGUCGUGAGAUGUUAGGUUAAGUCCUAAAACGAGCGAAACCCUUAUCGUUAGUUGCCAGCACGUUAUGGUGGGGACUUUAACGAGACUGCCAAUGAUAAAUUGGAGGAAGGUGAGGAUCACGUCAAAUCAGCAUGCCCCUUAUGACCUGGGCUACAAACGUGAUACAAUGGCUGUUACAAAGGGUAGCUGAAACGCAAGUUCUUGGCCAAUCCCCAAAAACAGUCCCAGUCCGGAUUGAAGUCUGCAACUCGACUUCAUGAAGUUGGAAUCGCUAGUAAUCGCGAAUCAGCAUGUCGCGGUGAAUACGUUCUCGGGGUUUGUACACACCGCCCGUCA
RNAcentral lists this ribosomal RNA (1247 nucleotides) under Candidatus Phytoplasma citri. RNAcentral's name for it is "bacterial SSU rRNA". It matches the Rfam family "Bacterial small subunit ribosomal RNA", at positions 153 to 1399 of the family's 1533-position model. Lineage: Bacteria; Bacillati; Mycoplasmatota; Mollicutes; Acholeplasmatales; Acholeplasmataceae. RNAcentral also lists the same sequence under 1 other name. The record is from RNAcentral.